This 3077-nucleotide long non-coding RNA is filed under the name Podarcis lilfordi (Lilford's wall lizard). Lineage: Eukaryota; Metazoa; Chordata; Lepidosauria; Squamata; Lacertidae. The record is from RNAcentral.
CCCAGAACCAGGCCAAACAAGCCAUCAAUCGUGAGGAACCUGGCAGCUCUGAGCACAUGAUCCGAGGAGGAAAACAGAACGUCCUGGAGGGAAACGCCACAGCUUGCGGGGGGAGGAGGAGAGAGACGCUAAGCUCCCUAGGCCGCUCCCCAGGCCUCCUUUGUGCUUUUUCCACACGCGCACCAUGCGCAGACAUGCGCACCCAUGCGCCGUGCGAGAGCAAAAAAGUCCCCUGACUUCGCGGUGACCUUUGUGGGAAUUUCAGCAGGGUGAAAGUCACUCGGAUUAGAGGAGCAGAAAUUGCUGGCGUUUGCUUGCUGGUAUGCGCGAGCGCAUGCCCCACCCCACACCCCUGGCAGGCCUGCCAAAGGGGGUGGGUUGGGGGGUGGAGCAGGGAGAAAAGACGCCCAGAAACAAGGCAGUGCUCCAAAGUUGUGCAUUAUUUUGUUUUUCAAGCAUUGUGGGCGGGAGCAAACUGGCACCAAUUAUGGGAAGCGAUUUGUCAUCUCGUCCCACCGCUUUGCACCAAUAGGAAGACGUUCCCUUCUUCCUCUUCAGGGUCAGAGUUAAGCAUAUUUGUCAACAGAAUAAUAAUCACGUUUGUUUUUGCUUGGGGUUUUUUUUUGGGGGGGUGAAGAUUUUUAAACUCAUUUCGUUGUAUGUAUAAAACAGAGAAGACCUAAUAGCAGGAGAAAAAUUAAAGAGAAACAAAACUAUAAAACAACCACAUUGAACGAGUAGGGAUUAGGGUUAGAACUUUUUUACUUUUCUCCCAAAAAAUGAUUUCCUGUAUCCUCAGGGGAUAAACUUUUGCUUAGAAACACUCAAAAACAGGGACUGGUUCUUCUCAGCUGUGAAACAAGGUCACCCUGAAAUGAAAAAUUGGAAUCACCAUAUACAGUAUGUCACAUUACUACUCAUAAAGUAUCAGUAUUUUUGAAAACUUGAUGGAACUGUUUAGAACUUUUACAGCUGUAAAAGAACUUUCAAAAGCAUUGGAGAAUCUCUCUUAACACCUGGAAGCAGGAGCAGGGCCAGAUUUCGGUUUGAUGAGGCCCUCAGCUACUGAAGGUAAUGGAGCCCUUUAUAUGUCCAGCUGUCCUUUGUCAACAACAAAUUGUCGCUGUUUUUUGUGUUGAAUAUAUGCUAUAAGUUAAUUUAUGGACCUAUUAGGUAUAUAAAGCCAUUUGCCACAGUUGCUGUAUGUAGGUUUUAUUUAAUUUGUUUUUUAUCUUAUAUUUUGGAAAUGGACAUCCAGUUUUUUCCCCUUUAAUUUUUUGGGGGCCCCCAAAGAGAGUGGGGCCCUAAGCUAUAGCUUGUUUAGCAGCCCUCUGAACUCCAGAUCCCAGGAUGUGAUCCAUGCGCAGAACGCGCAACCAAAGUGAUGCAGGAACUUUUUGGUGCUUGCAGCAGAAACCAAGACCAACUGCAACCUCGAUUUAUUCUUAGCAAUAAGAAGAGGUGUGCGAUGUACAAGCACUGGAAAGUUUGCAAGCUAAAUUUUUCCUUCGUCAUAAUACAUGUCGUGCAUAUGACGUAAUAUGUUAUACAGUUACAUAGACAAAAUUUGAUUUAUUGUUUUCGGGGUGACUUUGUUUUUUUGCAAAAGAGUUUGCUUUUAGGCAAAAGUUCAUCUAACUAAGCUACAGGAACGUGAGGUUGUAAAAAAGUUAUAAACCUAAUUGCCACCUAUCAGGGAUGGUUCAGCUGGGAUUCCUGAAGUGCACAGCAUUGGACUUUUUUUAAAAAAAUAUUUUUUAUUAAGAAUUUAAGCAUAACAAAUUAUCAAAACAUUCCCCCCCAUUUUUCCCUCCCCCCUCCCCAGAAGAAACCCCCCUCCCUCUCCGCCCCAAGACUUCCCUCAGCAACUCUCUCUGGUUUUCUCAACACAUGUUAUUCUCUGCAUAUUGUAAAAUUGUAAAGAUCCUUAAAUUAUCUGUCUAUUAUGUUAACAAUCAAUAAAUUUGUGUUAUGUUCAUUCAAAACCUGCCAAGGAGUCCAAUUCAUUUUGUUUGUUUUUUUAAGAAGUUUGUAAAACGUUCCCAUUCUUCUUUAAAGUCACAGUUGUCUCGCAGUUCGUACGUCAAUUUCCCCAAUUCUGCAUAGUCCAUCAGUUUCUCUUGCCACUGUUCUUUUGUCGGGAUUUCCUCAUUCUUCCAUCCUUGCGCUAUUAAGACUCUUGCCGCUGUUGUCACGUACAUAAAUAAAUUAUUUAUUUUCCUUGGCAGGUCUUGCACAGGGUUGGACUUGAAGGCCCUUGGAGGUCCCUCCCAACCCUACAAUUCUAAGAACCGGGAAAGGGUUGCGAAAUGGGGACUCCUGCACUCCCUGGCCUCUCCUCUCCCUCCCCUUCCCGGCUCUACCUCCGGCCAAAUCCUGACCGGCCACACGCUGUUCCUGGUGUCCGGUGACCAAGGGACAGCUGUCGGACAUGGCUGGGGUUUGGACGGGAGACAAGGAUGGUGCAUGGGGCACAUCAACAAGGGGGGCGAAAGGGAGACGGGGUGAGUCAUCUCCAUGGCAGAUGUUCACUGUGAGAGCGGGGAGGACGCAGCACAUCGCAGGUAAAAACAGGAGGGCUUCUAACACCGCCCCUAUGCUCGUAUCCAGGGUCGUCUCCGCCUAAACUGCUCUUGCGCAUCGCUAGAGACUCUCCUGCACAUGAAGCUGUCUUAUCCUGAGUCAGAACACUGGGCUGUCCAUGUGAUGACUCUGCAUGGUGCUAGUCCACAUGGGGUCCAAAGAGCUGGCUUAAGGAGGAAGCAACCUGCCAGCAAGCCAGGCCACGGGUCUUCUUGGCUCUGUAUUAUUCUCACUGGCUGGCAACGGCUCUCCAGGGUUCAUUUGGGGCUCACUGUGGUCCAUGGAGGCGCAGGUCAAUUCUGCGUGCAAGGAGGCUGCCAAGGAGGCUGCCAAAGGAGGCUGCAAGGAGGCUACCAAACUGGGAGGGGUGGCUAACACCCCAGAGGACAGGAUCACACUUCAAAACGACCUUGACAGAUUAGAGAACUGGGCCAAAACAAACAAGAUGAAUUUUAACAGGGAGAAAUGUAAAGUAUUGCACUUGGGCAAAAAAA